UACGUAGGGUGCAAGCGUUGUCCGGAAUUAUUGGGCGUAAAGAGCUCGUAGGCGGUUUGUUGCGUCGGCUGUGAAAUCCCGAGGCUCAACCUCGGGUCUGCAGUCGAUACGAGCAAACUAGAGUGUUGCAGGGGAGACUGGAAUUCCUGGUGUAGCGGUGAAAUGCGCAGAUAUCAGGAGGAACACCGGUGGCGAAGGCGGGUCUCUGGACCGGUUCUGACGCUCAGGCGCGAAAGCGUGGGGAGCGAUCCGG
Molecule: ribosomal RNA, 253 nt
Filed under: uncultured bacterium
Lineage: Bacteria
Description: partial 16S ribosomal RNA
Rfam family: Bacterial small subunit ribosomal RNA
Source: RNAcentral